CGGAUGUGACAUCUUAAGCAACUUUAAGAUCUUCCAGCUUCCCUGUCCUCUGAGGGGAGAGCAACAGGCUGGCGUGUUGUAAGGAUUUGGCCUUAUGAUCCAUGACUCGGAGUUGCUGACCUCCAUGGCCAGGAAGCUGCAGGAGCUGGAGCAGCAGUUGAAGGCACGGAAUGAGGAGAUGCUGUCCAAGGAGCAGAAGAUCCUGGCCCUGGAGGAUUUGGUGCAGACCCUCCAGCAGCACCAGAGUAAGAAGCCCUUGGUCAGGCAGCACAACCAGGGAGGAGGAGCUGGAGACACAGUGCAUUCAGCUGCAACGGCAGGUUGGAGAGAUGGAGGUGAGAGCCCAAGGCUGGCGGAACAGCCGGCCAGGCAGCUCUCCCGAGAGCCUCGAGCGGCCCGGAAGCAUUUGCAGAAGCGCCCCCUUGGUAUUCUCCAAGCCCCUGUGUUUUCCUGCUCUGGGCUGACUCAGAGUUAAAGCUGGGGGUUGGGGGUGGGAAUCUGGCACCAUGACACAUUACUGCCUUUGGGGCUAAAUCAAACCUGAACACAGCCCACUCCUGCUUAAUAUACUCUCCACUCGCUCUGUUCU
RNAcentral lists this long non-coding RNA (589 nucleotides) under Rattus norvegicus (Norway rat). Its description in RNAcentral is "long non-coding RNA NONRATT022714". Lineage: Eukaryota; Metazoa; Chordata; Mammalia; Rodentia; Muridae. The record is from RNAcentral.